RNAcentral lists this ribosomal RNA (253 nucleotides) under uncultured bacterium. Its description in RNAcentral is "partial 16S ribosomal RNA". It matches the Rfam family "Bacterial small subunit ribosomal RNA", at positions 524 to 776 of the family's 1533-position model. The record is from RNAcentral.
UACGUAGGGUGCAAGCGUUAAUCGGAAUUACUGGGCGUAAAGCGUGCGCAGGCGGUUUUUUGAGUCAGAUGUGAAAUGCCCGGGCUUAACCUGGGAACUGCAUUUGUGACUGCAUGGCUAGAGUUUGGCAGAGGGGGGUAGAAUUCCACGUGUAGCAGUGAAAUGCGUAGAUAUGUGGAGGAACACCGAUGGCGAAGGCAGCCCCCUGGGUCAAGACUGACGCUCAUGCACGAAAGCGUGGGGAGCAAACAGG